This 3710-nucleotide long non-coding RNA is filed under the name Anolis carolinensis (green anole). RNAcentral's name for it is "lncRNA (ENSACAG00000040390.1)". Lineage: Eukaryota; Metazoa; Chordata; Lepidosauria; Squamata; Anolidae. The record is from RNAcentral.
AUGCUAUGCCAGUCAACAGCCUUUUUAACUUUCGAAGUCUGGAACGGUCUGGUUUCCUGGGUGGUUUCUUUCUCUUUCCUUUUCCUUUUUGUGCACUCAACCCAGUCUCGCUCUCUGUCUGAGUCUGAAAUGUCCCCUCCUCGUUCCUUAGCCAUCUCCUUUUUUUGCUGGCUUUCCAGAGAGAUCAAGAAACGCAUCUCUUCAGAUUACAAACUAGCCAAAACUGGUGCCUUGGCAAGCAAAGAGAUCUUUGAAGAGGAAUUUCAGCGAGGCCUUCCUAGUUAGAGAAACACCCGGCUGUGUUUGAAGAGCACUGGAGAAUCGAAAUCCAAAUAUCUGGGCGAGUGAAAAAUAACUAGGUAUUAAAGCCGAUUUGUAAUUUGCUGCGGGCGGAAUGCGGGGAAAUCUCCCCACGUACAGAACCACGUGUGAACAGCAGGAUGGGAAAUUAUCUCUUCUCAACAUUCUAUAUUCUCAGUAGGUAGUAAGAGUUGAGGUACAACUCAAUCUGGGCUGCGGUACUAAGCAGGACUCUGAAAUCAUGUGAUACAUUGAUUUUUUUAAAAAAAAGAAUCAUAUACAUAUCAGUGAGAUGGUAAGAAAAGAAAACCAUGAAUAAACACAUAUAUGCAGCUCUUCUGGAUCUUCUGCAUAGCGAGGCAUGUUUUCUUCUCUACAGAACUUUUUACAUCGUCGAGCCUAAGAUUAUUUUAGAACAUGUUUCAUAAGAGUUCGAUUUUUUUUAUCAAAUAUUUUCUCAGAUUACUCCAAUCUGUCUUUUGUCUUGGCGGAUUAUUCUGAGAUAUUGAAUGUGUUAAUAAAUCCACUCUUUUGAAAGAAUAUUUAAAAUAAGAGAAGAAGAAAAGUAGAUUCCCAACCAUAAAAAAUAGCACCAACAAUUGGGAAGUUAUCCUUCCUUAAAGAAAUGUAUAUUUCUCUAUAAAUAUAUGGACCUUUUUUAAACCUCGAUGGAAGAGAUCGGAAGUUGACAAACUCUUUUUUUUUUCUCUUUUUUUUUCUUCUCUUAUUUUUUUCUGCUCACCAUUUUCUUGCUACUUUCCUACUUUUCUUUACUAUUUAUGUUCUCCCACUUUUAUUGUAAUGAAAAUUUGUUGUAUAACAUGAUGUUUUGGUGCGUAAUUUGUAAAAUCAUAACCUAAUUUGAUGUGUAAUAGGCUUUUCCUUAAUCUCUCCUUAUUAUCCAACCUAUUUGCUUAUCCGACCUUCUUCCGGCCCGUUUAUGUUGGAUAAGUGAGGCUCUACUGUAUGUUGUUUGGGAUGUUCCCAAAAAAAGAGAUCUGGGUACCCAACAAAAUUCGGAGACCAAAAACAGAUCGCCCUCCAGCCAAAUUGCACAUGCCUAAUUUCUAUCAGUUUCAUUUCUUGAUCCAGGCCUGAUUUUUUUAAAAAAAAAUGCCUUGGGGUGCAUCUACAUUAUUGAAUUAAUAUAAUUUGACCCAACUUUAACUGCCUGCCAUAGAUGUGGGUGAAACGUCAGGAGAGAAUGCUUCUGGAACAUGACCAUACAGCUUGGAAAACUCACAGCAACGCAGAUUUAGAGAGCUCAGGUAUAUCUCAUUUAACAAAAUAGAUAUGUCCAUGACCCUACUCCCUUAUGAGAAAGUUAUGAGGCAGAAAUAACACGGAAAGAACGGGGAGGGAUUCUGCAAGAUGCAAAAGAAAAAUCCAAUGUUAUGAUUUUUAUUUAGACCUAACAAUAGGCACAUGUGAAAUAAAGCAACUCGGUCAUGUAAGCCUUGCAUAAGUAAACAGUAUUUUGCAUUUUCUAAAAGUCCCUUUUUCUUAUGGGUUCCACCAAGAGUUAAUCCAAUUGCUCGGGGAGUGCGACUGGGCGGCUUGGUUUUGCAUUAGUUUUGUUUUAUGCUUGAAAUUUCCAUGCCUCAUACCAAUCACGUCCUCCGCUGUGAAUUCAUUAGCAGCAAGCUGCUAAUUAAAUUCUGUAUUUAUGAUUGGAAAAUAAAAUCAUCGGACCUUUUUAAAAUAGAUUUUUACAACUCCGAGCCCAGGCAGCUGACUCAGCAAUCGGGGAGGCAAAGCUUCCGACUUAAAGGCUUCCAUGAGAAAGAUUAGAUAGAAUGAGAAAUGACACUUCAAAAGACUUAUCCGAAAUCCCCCUUCGUUUUUGGGCCGGAUUGAGUUUUCAGAGCCAGGAAAACAACAACAUUGCAUUGUGCGCCUGGUGUUCGGUGUCACCUGAAACAAUAUCAGGCACCGUUAUCAAGGGCUCCCGAAUGCAAGUGUUGUUGUUAUUCCAAAUACAUUUUAAUAAAUCUUUUUGAUUAGAGACACACAAUUCAGCAUGAAGAAGAACAGAUUCCCAGACUUUAUGAUAGCAUAGAUGGAUGCAUUGGUUGAAAACCCCGCAGCUAAACAAGGGGUACAUCUACAUGGCUGAACUGCUGACCUGAAGGUUGGGUUACUGACUUGAAGGUUGUUGGUUAAACUCCUGUCUGUCAGCUCUAGCUUGCGGGAACAUGAGAGAAGCCUCCCAGUAACACAUCCAAGCGUUCCCUGGGCAAUGUCUCUGUAGACCUCAAACUUUUUAAGUGGACAGCCGAUCUACAGUCCCUCAGACUGUUGCGGGACCGGACUAUGAUGAAAUAGUAAAAAAAUAGAAUUGUUGUUGUUGUGUGCCUUCAAGUCGUUUCAGACUUAGAUCAACCCUAAGUCUAAGGUUUAGGACAGAAGCCAGGGAAAUGGCCUUGGAGGGCCUUAGUUUGGGGACCCCUGAUCUAGAUGAUCUCAUAAGACCAUAGGUAAGUAAAUAGACCUCCAAAACCCACCUAGAUGGUCUCAUAAGACCAUAGGUAAGGAAAGGGACCCUCAAAGGCCAUCUAGACGGUCUCAUAAGGCCAUCGCUAAGCAAAGAGACCUUCAAAGACCGUCUAGUUGAUCUCAUAAGACCAUAGGUAAGGAAAGAAACCUCCAAAAACCAUCUAGAUUGUCUCAUAAGACCAUAGGUAAGGAAAGGGACCCUCAAAGACCAUCUAGAUGGUUUCAUAAGACCAUGGGUAAGGAAAGGGACCCUCAAAGGCCAUCUAGACAGUCUCAUAAGGCCAUAGCUAAGCAAAGAGACCUUCAAAGACCGUCUAGUUGAUCUCAUAAGACCAUAGGUAAGGAAAGAAACCUCCAAAAAACAUCUAGAUGGUCUCAUAAGACCAUAGGUAAGGAAAGGGACCCUCAAAGGCCAUCUAGAUGAUUUGGAAAGGAGUCCCCAAAGGCCAUCUAGAUGAUCUCAUAAAACCAUAGGUAAGGAAAGUGACCUCCAAAUGCCAUCUAGAUGGUUUCAUAAGGCCGUAACUAAGUAAAGAGACCUUCAAAGACCAUCUAGACAGUCUCAUAAGACCAUAGGUAAGCAAAGAGACCUCCAAAAACCAGGUAAACUUAGGUCAACCCUAAGUCUAAAGUUUAGGACAGGGGCCACGUAAAUUACCUUGGAGGGCCACAUCUGACCCACGGGCCUUAGUUUGGGGACCCCUGCUGUAGACGGCCAGUUCUCUCAUGCCAGAAGCAACUAUGUCCUCAAGUUCCCAGAGCCUCAGUGACCAUGCUGGCUGGAGCAUCCUGGGAAUAGAAGUCCAAAAAGUAAUAUUCCCAUGCUCUUUGUGAUAGUAACCUUUUACCUUAAAGAAAUGACCUUUUCCAAGCUCUGGGUUUUGAAACAGAUUCAUCUGUGAUGGUUGUUUCCC